CUGGUAGACACAUAGCGCUAUUGCAUCCAUUGGAAAGGGAGAGGGGGAGAGCGCGAGAGAAAAGGAGAGAGCAAGAGAAAGGGAGAGCGAGAAAAAUUGAUGGACAAAGAGAAAGGGAGAGAGAGAGAGAGAGCGAGAGAAAGGAAGAGAGCAAGAAAAAUUGAUGGACAAAAAAAUAGAGAGGAGAGCGAGGGAAAAGGAGGAGAGAGAGAGAGAAAGGGAGAGCGAGCGAGAGAAAGGGAGAGCGAGCGAGAGAAAGGGAGAGAGAGCGAGAGAAAGGGCGAGAGAAAGGGAGAGGGACAGGGGGAGAGACAGGGCAAGGGGGAAAGGGAGAGGAGAGCGAGGGAAAAGGAGAGGAGAGAGAGAGAAAGGGAGCGAGAGAAAGCGAGCGAGAGCGAGCGAGAGAGAGAAAGGGAGAGCGAGAGAGAGCGAGAGAAAGGGAGAGCGAGAGAGAGCGAGCAAAAGGGAGAGAGAGCGAGCGAGAGAAAGGGAGAGAGCGAGAGAAAGGGAGAACGAGAGAGGGAAAGGCGAGAGGAGAAAGAGGGAAAGGGGGAGAGAGAAAGAGAGCGAGGGCGAGAGAAAGUAGAGAGAGGAGAGGGAAAGGGGGAGAGAGAGAAAAGAGCGGGAGAGAGGGGAUGGGGAGAGGGGAAGAAGAUCGAGGGGAAGGGAGAGAGCGAGAGAAAGGGAAAGAGGGAAAGGGAGAGAGGACGAGAGAAAGGGAGAGCGAGCGAGAGAAAGGGAGAGCGAGCGAGAGACAGGGGGAGAGAGCGAGAGACAGGGGGAGAGACAGGGCAAGGGGGAAAGGGAGAGGAGAGCGAGGGAAAAGGAGAGGAGAGCGAGAGAAAGGGAGAGCGAGCGAGAGAAAGGGAGAGCGAGCGAGAGAAAGCGAGAGCGAGCGAGAGAAAGGGAGAGAGAGAAAGAGAGAGAAAGGGAGAGAGAGCGAGAGAAAGGGAAAGAGGGAAAGGGAGAGAGAAGGAGUGAGAAAAAAGUGAGAG
This 995-nucleotide long non-coding RNA is filed under the name Salmo salar (Atlantic salmon). RNAcentral's name for it is "lncRNA (ENSSSAG00000109580.1)". Lineage: Eukaryota; Metazoa; Chordata; Actinopteri; Salmoniformes; Salmonidae. The record is from RNAcentral.